RNAcentral lists this ribosomal RNA (305 nucleotides) under uncultured bacterium. RNAcentral describes it as "bacterial SSU rRNA". It matches the Rfam family "Bacterial small subunit ribosomal RNA", at positions 335 to 656 of the family's 1533-position model. The record is from RNAcentral.
UCACCUACGGGGCGCAGCAGUCGGGAAUAUUGCGCAAUGGAGGAAACUCUGACGCAGUGACGCCGCGUAUAGGAAGAAGGUCUUCGGAUUGUAAACUAUUGUCGUUAGGGAAGAGAAAGGACAGUACCUAAGGAGGAAGCUCCGGCUAACUACGUGCCAGCAGCCGCGGUAAUACGUAGGGAGCGAGCGUUGUCCGGAAUUACUGGGUGUAAAGGGAGCGUAGGCGGGACGGCAAGUCAGAUGUGAAAACUGAGGGCUCAACCUUCAGACUGCAUUUGAAACUGCUGUUCUUGAGUGAAGUAGAG